GACGAACGCUGGCGGCGUGCUUAACACAUGCAAGUCGAACGGAAAGGCCCUGCUUUUGUGGGGUGCUCGAGUGGCGAACGGGUGAGUAACACGUGAGUAACCUGCCCUUGACUUUGGGAUAACUUCAGGAAACUGGGGCUAAUACCGGAUAGGAGCUCCUGCUGCAUGGUGGGGGUUGGAAAGUUUCGGCGGUUGGGGAUGGACUCGCGGCUUAUCAGCUUGUUGGUGGGGUAGUGGCUUACCAAGGCUUUGACGGGUAGCCGGCCUGGGAGGGUGACCGGCCACAUUGGGACUGAGAUAGGGCCCAGACGCCUACGGGGGGCAGCAGUGGGGAAUAUUGCACAGUGGGCGGAAGCCUGAUGCAGCAACGCCGCGUGCGGGAUGACGGCCUUCGGGUUGUAAACCGCUUUCGCCUGUGACGAAGCGUGAGUGACGGUAAUGGGUAAAGAAGCACCGGCUAACUACGUG
Molecule: ribosomal RNA, 468 nt
Filed under: uncultured bacterium
Lineage: Bacteria
Description: partial 16S ribosomal RNA
Rfam family: Bacterial small subunit ribosomal RNA
Source: RNAcentral